UAAAUAGCCAGCUUUAGGCAGUUGGCCGGUUUAGUCAGUUGCUGUAAGAGUUAGCGGUUUUCUUGCUUCUGGUCACCUUGGGGAGGUAAUUUUUCCUUAUCUGUAUCAGCUUGCUUUGUGAUAUUCUGCAAUGAACAAAAUAUUGAGAUUUUGGCUCUUCUCCAUACAAUGGAACUCAAAGCUCCAGUGUUGCUUGGAUCCCAACAAGUAUCAUUUGUGUUCUGCAGAAGAAAGACAUACGGAUUUAAAAUCACUUG
Molecule: long non-coding RNA, 257 nt
Organism: Sinocyclocheilus rhinocerous
Lineage: Eukaryota; Metazoa; Chordata; Actinopteri; Cypriniformes; Cyprinidae
Exons: 3
Source: RefSeq, a predicted model, not a curated record